UUCAAGUGCAACUAUAAAUUUCCGUGUCUAACGUUUAACCAUCCAUCUUAUUUAUUCUUUUUAUAAUUAGUAUUUUUGUUGCUAUUUGAUGAUAAAACAUGAAUAAUAUUUUAUGCAUAACUUAUUAUCUUUAUUUUUUUUUAUAAUUUUUUAAAAUAAGAUAUACGGUCAAACGUUAAACACGAAAAUCUACAACUGCAUUUAAA
Molecule: non-coding RNA, 206 nt
Organism: Oryza barthii
Lineage: Eukaryota; Viridiplantae; Streptophyta; Magnoliopsida; Poales; Poaceae
Source: Rfam